UUUCGCCCUGAUGAACAAAAA
Molecule: non-coding RNA, 21 nt
Filed under: Caenorhabditis elegans
Lineage: Eukaryota; Metazoa; Nematoda; Chromadorea; Rhabditida; Rhabditidae
Source: RNAcentral